Molecule: long non-coding RNA, 1491 nt
Filed under: Mus musculus (house mouse)
Lineage: Eukaryota; Metazoa; Chordata; Mammalia; Rodentia; Muridae
Description: RIKEN cDNA 2610307P16 gene
Source: RNAcentral
GAGAGGGAGAAACCUGCCGCGGCUCUCCGCCUCUUUGUCUGCUCUGGGACUUGGAACAAAAGGGGAAACUCUGAUGAACUCCUUCUCCAGCUCCCUGGACGCCCGAGUAUCUCUUUCUCGCAACUUUGUCAACGCGACUUUCUCCGCUGUCAGGCUGCGCAAAAGUAUCCUAGCGCCUCGCAGGCUGCAACAAUGGAAACAAUGUCCCUUCAAAGUGCGACGAAGUGGAGGGAGAAGGUGUCAUACCAGCGACUCCAAGAGUCAUGUCACCCACUUAGCAGGAGUACUUCUACUGAAAUGCCUUCGAAUUUCUCUUACUGGAUAUAUACCUACCAGCCGCUAGCAUGAAGAUGCCAGGACCGCUGCAAGUUAGCACUGGACAAAGUAGCAUCAACUUCUUCAUUUAGAGUUUCUUCAGUUAAAUUGCUGGGAUUUUCGACAAGGCUUUCCUUAUGUGGAUUAUUGGAGUGUGAUGCCCGAGAAUUCUCUACUUGUAGAAGCACGCCCACGGGACUGCAGAAGCCUUCACACCCACCCAGCACGCUCAGAUCAUCCAGUAACCAACCCAGGAAGUUCUUGUAAGCAUGCAUUUCUUAGUCAACACUGAAUGCCUUUAGACCGAGGUCAACCUUUUCAGCUGGUACCGUGGUUUACACUGCUGAAAGUACUGUCUUCAACCUUACCAAUGUCAGUGGCGGCGACGGUGGCGUCACCAUCACCAUCAGAGAAAAAGAAAUAUGCCUUUAUGUCAUGGUGGAACCAUCUAGGGAGGCCUGCCACUGUUUGCUGAGCUCCGGGUGAGGAUGAAGACACUUUGACAUGGCCAGCUUCAGACUCGGGAUCUGUCGGUGUUAGCAGCCGAAGGAGAAUGAGGAGGAAGAGGAGGAGAAAGAGGAGGAGGAAGUAAGACAGAGGGGGACAAGAGGACCAAGAGGGCACAUGGCUGAGGAGGAGGAGAACAACAACAACAACAACAACAACAACAACAACAAGAAGCUUGGUGUUUUCAGGAUGUGUUCCUGAGUCUCGUGAGUAGCACAUGGCAGUUGUUGUCACCUUGGGCUGAGCCGUGAAGAUUCUCACCCUCCCUUGUUGGGGAUGAACUCCGGGAUUCUAAGGAGAGGUCAGCAGGUGUUUCACAGACUGUUCCUGUUGGAGGAUUUGUCUGAUACUCUUCUCCUGAUUAGUCUGGGCUCUACAUUUCCCCAAGGGUGAAACUUGGAAGCCCUCUCCAGGAUGCAGCAGGUAGCUGAGGAGAAAACGAAGACUGACCAGCCCAGAGCUCAGAGCUUCCUCCCAUGCUCAGGAUUUACCACCAAUGCCAUUACAUCGGCCUCUUCUUGUAUGCCUCUGGAAACCACAUGUGUCCUCUGUUUGUAAUGGUUUGGCUAUGGUUGCUGGCCCCUCUUGGACAUUGUUUUCAGAACUUAAAGAAACAUUGCUUUAAAGAUUUAUUAGAACAUAUUUAAAAUAAAACCAUCUUCUCAUUUA